This 347-nucleotide ribosomal RNA is filed under the name uncultured bacterium. RNAcentral describes it as "partial 16S ribosomal RNA". It matches the Rfam family "Bacterial small subunit ribosomal RNA", at positions 338 to 682 of the family's 1533-position model. The record is from RNAcentral.
CCUACGGGAGGCAGCAGUGAGGAAUAGUGGUCAAUGGGCGCGAGCCUGAACCAGCCAAGUAGCGUGAAGGAUGAAGGCCCUACGGGUGGUAAACUUCUUUUAUAAAGGAAUAAAGUGAGGCACGUGUGCCGUUUUGUAUGUACUUUAUGAAUAAGGAGCGGCUAACUCCGUGCCAGCAGCCGCGGUAAUACGGCGGAUCCGAGCGUUAUCCGGAUGUGUUGGGGUGAAAGGGAGCGUAGAUGGGUUGUUAAGGCAGUUGUGCAAGUUUGCGGCUCAACCGUAAAAUUGCCAUUGAUACUGGCAGUCUUGAGUACAGUUGAGGUAGGCGGAAUUCGUGGUGUAGCGGU